UACGUAGGGGCUAGCGUUAUCCGGAUUUACUGGGCGUAAAGCGCGUGUAGGUGGUUCUGUAAGUAGGGCGUAGAAAGCUCCCGGCUCAACUGGGAGAGGCCGUUCUAAACUGCAGAGCUAGAGGAUGGUAGAGGGAGGUGGAAUUCCAGGUGUAAGCGGUGGAAUGCGCAGAUAUCUGGAGGAACACCAGUGGCGAAGGCGGCCUCCUGGACCAUUCCUGACACUCAGACGCGAAAGCUAGGGUAGCAAACGGGAUUAGAUACCCCCGUAGUCCCU
This 276-nucleotide ribosomal RNA is filed under the name uncultured prokaryote. RNAcentral describes it as "partial 16S ribosomal RNA". It matches the Rfam family "Bacterial small subunit ribosomal RNA", at positions 524 to 798 of the family's 1533-position model. The record is from RNAcentral.